AAUAGAUACCCUGGUAGUCCACGCCGUAAACGAUGAGUGCUAAGUGUUAGAGGGUUUCCGCCCUUUAGUGCUGAAGUUAACGCAUUAAGCACUCCGCCUGGGGAGUACGGCCGCAAGGCUGAAACUCAAAGGAAUUGACGGGGGCCCGCACAAGCGGUGGAGCAUGUGGUUUAAUUCGAAGCAACGCGAAGAACCUUACCAGGUCUUGACAUCCUCUGACAACCCUAGAGAUAGGGCUUCUCCUUCGGGAGCAGAGUGACAGGUGGUGCAUGGUUGUCGUCAGCUCGUGUCGUGAGAUGUUGGGUUAAGUCCCGCAACGAGCGCAACCCUUGAUCUUAGUUGCCAUCAUUAAGUUGGGCACUCUAAGGUGACUGCCGGUGACAAACCGGAGGAAGGUGGGGAUGACGUCAAAUCAUCAUGCCCCUUAUGACCUGGGCUACACACGUGCUACAAUGGACGGUACAAAGAGCUGCAAGACCGCGAGGUGGAGCUAAUCUCAUAAAAACCCGUUCUCAGUUCGGA
This 522-nucleotide ribosomal RNA is filed under the name uncultured bacterium. RNAcentral's name for it is "bacterial SSU rRNA". It matches the Rfam family "Bacterial small subunit ribosomal RNA", at positions 777 to 1297 of the family's 1533-position model. The record is from RNAcentral.